RNAcentral lists this ribosomal RNA (247 nucleotides) under uncultured bacterium. Its description in RNAcentral is "partial 16S ribosomal RNA". It matches the Rfam family "Bacterial small subunit ribosomal RNA", at positions 57 to 305 of the family's 1533-position model. The record is from RNAcentral.
GCAAGUCGAACGCGAAAGCAAUCUUCGGAUUGUUAGUACAGUGGCGGACGGGUGAGUAACGCGUAGGAAUCUACCUAGUAGUGGGGGACAACUCGAGGAAACUCGAGCUAAUACCGCAUACGCUCUUAGGAGGAAAGUGGGGGAUCUUCGGACCUUACGCUAUUAGAGGAGCCUGCGUUAGAUUAGCUUGUUGGUGAGGUAAAGGCUCACCAAGGCGACGAUCUAUAGCUGGUCUGAGAGGACGAUC